RNAcentral lists this long non-coding RNA (31108 nucleotides) under Phaseolus vulgaris (common bean). RNAcentral's name for it is "long non-coding RNA (PVUL_LNC000921)". The record is from RNAcentral. Lineage: Eukaryota; Viridiplantae; Streptophyta; Magnoliopsida; Fabales; Fabaceae.
CCAUUGUGGACCUUUCAGUGAUAGAGAUAUUGUCAAGACAUGCUUCUGAUGAGGUCUAUCUUGGACAGAGGGACAAUCCAAAUUGGACUAAUAACAUAAAAGCACUUCAAGCAUUUAAGAGGUUUGGACAAAAGCUGAAGGAAAUUGAAGAAAAAAUCAUGGGGAGGAACAAAGAUUCAAGUCUUAGAAACCGUAAUGGACCAGUUCAGAUGCCCUACACUGUGCUUCUUCCUACCUGUGAAGAUGAAGGCCUCACUUUUAGAGGAAUUCCCAACAGCAUCUCAAUCUAAUGAGUUUCUCUACGUGUUGUUCUCUUUGCAAUCCUACCUUUUUAAUCACAAAUAAAUAUGCAGGCUUAUCCACCUAUGCAUAACUGUCUUCUAUAUCUAUGCUUAAGUGUUGUAUGUGGAUUUUAUCUAGUUUUCGUAUUUAGUACUAUGUUAUCAUUUAGUUACUAUCAUGUUGUGAAGUUUGAUAUCCGACCUAUGAAUAUCAAAUAUAAUAUAACUGGGGUUUUCAAGUGGAGCUGUUACAUAUCAUGACUUUGAAUUGGUACCUAAAUGAGUCCCAUAAAACUUUUCUAUCCUACCAUUACAAGAAUAAGAUUAGUGUUUUUUCAUUAUUACUGCAUGAACAGUCAUGCAGGAGUACAGAUAAAUAUGUUUUGAAAAAUUGAAUUGCCCCAUAUCAAAUACAAUUUUACCUGUGCUCAGAUUACUGCUAUUUUAGAGUUGAUCUUACGUUUGGAAAAUGAUACUUUUUUUUUAUGUUUUAACGAUCUACACAUUGGCUAAUUAAUUGGUGUGUUUUUCCACCAAACAUGUUCAUCUUAAUCUUUGAGUUUAUCAUUGGAUUGAUCAUAUCUAGUGUGAGUAUAUGUGGUCAAGUCCAAUCAUGUGGUGAAACUAUUUUAAUGUCGAUCUUUAGAGUUAACGAAAAAAUCUCAUUUAUUUCUCAUUAAGACGGGUGUUAAUUAUGAAGAUUGACUAUAUAUAUAUAUAUGCGGAAUUGUAAUUAAUUUGGGAAUAUAGUUCAAAAUAAGACUAAAUACAAGGAGAAGGGAUGAAGACUUUUUUAACUCAUAUUUUACACUAUACUCAAUAUAUUUUGAUACUCUUACUGACUUAGCGAGCAUCAGAAUAUUUUCUACAAGUAGAAUCCCCUCAUUUUCUUAGAGUCAAUUCAUGAAACUUGCAAGGAUAUCAUCCGGUAACCAUCUCAGAGUUUAAUCGACCUCAGCUACUGGUUGAGAGAUAUCCAUUUUCACUAGAACAAUUAGUAUAUUUUAUUAAAUUAAAAACACCUCAUUAUUAUUAUUAUACUUUUAAAAUUAAUACUUAUUAUUAUUCCUUUAAAAUUAAUAUUUAUUAUUAUUUAAAAAUUAAUACUUAUUAUUAUUAUUACUUUAAAAUUAAUAUUUUAUUAUUAAUAUUGUUAUUGUUAUUUUUCCUUUAAGUCUUAAAAAAAUAUUUAUAAAUAAUAUAAUUAUAAUACAUUGUGUCUAAAAAAUAUUACCAUAUAAAUAUUUAGAUAUUGCAUUUUGAAUUGAAAGUGAUGAGAUAAUACAUUGAUUCACGAUUCACGAUUUAUUGGUACUGAAAACUCAACAUUGACUUAGAACUGAAAGGAGUGUACCAAUAUGAAAGGAGUGUACCAAUACAUAAGAGACUCAUAUUAAAGAAAUAUUGUUAGAAAUUCAUAAGUUUUAAUCACACAUUUAAUAGAAUAAAAAAAUUGAACAACAUAUAAAGAAAGAGAUUGACAAACAUAUUGUUUUUAAAAAAUUUAUUAACCCUAAACCCUAAACAUCUUAUUGAGUUGACAUCCUUGGUUUAGCAUGUCUCUUUCGUAUGUAUUCCUCUAAAAAAUUUAAUAAUUAUAAGAUAAUUUUUUCUAUUCAUAUAAUUUUGUUUUACAAAAAUAACUAUUUUACAUCAAUCUUAAAUAACUCCAUCUUCUCAAAAUAGUUUCUUUUCAAAGUAGUGUGUGCCUUCUCAAAUAAAUUUCCAAAUAUACUUUAUUAAUUUAAAUGUCUCCAUUUUUACUUUUCCCUUUGUUAUUCUAAAAUCAUCUGCAAACACAAAAGUGGAGUCAAACCAAAUCAUCUGUUUAAAACCAAAACUGUAACUAUAUAUUAUUUUUAGUGAAUAUAAAUUGUAAAUUGGUAUGAAGAAGCUAAAUAGGAUAUGGACUUAAGACACCAUUUUCAACCAAAAAAUUUUAAAUAAUGUUAUUUACUUACUCAUUUAUGCCCUAUGACAGUUUGAUCUGAUUUCAAGUCUUAACCAGACAAGAAACAAUGACGACAAGACACAAAGAGCUUUAAGAAAGGAGGAAGUGGGACAUGGUAGUGAUUUGGAGGGAUAAGGUUGGUGCUGUAAAACAGACACAUGUUCUGUUUAACAAAAAAAUAUUAUAGCUUAGAAGAUAUGGGUGAUGAUAGAGUAGUUGGAUGAGUGUGUGUGCGACACACUGCAUGUGACACGGUCCCACACUUUAUCUUCUGAUUUGAUUUCUGCAGUUAAAGCUGUGUGCAGCGAAUCGACUUCAUCAUCUUUUGUCGUUAUUCGUUGCCAUUUUCACACGCGCAUAAUGCAUUUCAAAGCUCCAUUGGAUAAUUCUAGAGGAAUUUCCCCACAAUUUCUUUUCCAUCAAUGUGUAAGUAAUGCUAUAUUUACUUUAACUGGCUUAAAUUAAAUAAAAAACAAUUUUUUAAAAAUAAAAAAUAAUUAAUUACUAUAUUAAAUAAAUUAAAUACUACUUUAAAAAUUCAAAAAAUUAUUAGUAUCUAAAUUAAUUUUUAUUAUUGAUAAAUAAUUUAUAAAUUUAGAUUUUAAAAUUGGUAGUUAUUCUAAUACAUAAUAAUUUCCCAUCAUUAAGGAGUCGAGAGAUCAAAAUCAUUUUAUAUAUACUUUAUCACUUAAUCCAUUGAGACACUGUUCUUAACGGACAAUACUAGAUCAGAAUGAUCGUUGAUUAAAUACUAAUUUAAAAACUAUUUAUCAGUAAUAUAAAUUAAUUUAGAUACUAAUAUUUUUUUAAUUUCUAAAAUAAUAUAUAAUUUAACUAAUAUAAUAAUUAUAAAAUGUUUUUAUUAUAUUUAUCUUACAUUAGAUAUGACUGAUAUUUACGAGACUUUAGAAUAAUUUGAUAUAAAAUAAAAUUUGAGUCUAAUUUAGCUUUAUAAAUUUGAUAUUUAAGUUGAAAUUUAUACACAUAUUUAUGUACUACAAAAAUAUCUUUAUCUACAAUGAAAUCUCCAACAAUUUAUUGUUAAAAAAUAUUAGUUUUAUUUUCAUAACUUUUAAAAGAUAAAAUUUUCAUUUCUAUUGGUGUAAAGUUAUAUAAAAUGAUUAUUUGUAUUAAAAAAAUAGUUGGUUCUGUCACUGUCAGGUUUGAAACAAAGGAAUCCCAUCGUUGGAAGUAGAGAAACCUCGAGUUCCUCAUGGGCAAUAUAAUAUUAUAUUUUAAUUAGCAAAGAAAAAAAAAAUAAUAAUCUACAUCGUGAUCUUAGGUUUGGUUGUUAAAGAAUCAAAUCAUGUUCAAACAAAGCAUGCUUCUCGAGUGAGAAAGAUAAUCAUAUUUUAUUACGAAAACAGGGAUGGUUUACGUCAACUUAUUCUUUUUUUUAUCAUUUGAUGAUUGUCAAAUAGGAAUUUUUACUACAUUUUAAACUCAAAAUCAUUUUUUUAAAACGAUCACGUAUUCAAAAUACAAUUUACUUAUUUAAAAAAGUAAAAAAAAAACUUAUUUUUAAGAAAAGUAUAUUAAAUGAACACAUAAAAAAUUGAAAGACAUAUCAUCCAAUAAUUUAUCCAUUUUCAGUUGGCUGAUAUUUAAAAAAAAUUAAGUAUAUAAAAUACGAUAUUUAUGUAUUUAAAUAUAAAAAAGAAGAAGUUUUGAAUGAUUAUCAUAUAAGAAAUUAUUAACUAUAAUGAAAAAAAAAACUGUUUAGAACCUUCUUCUGUUGUAAUGGAGUUGCAUUCAAAUUUAUUGUAAUAAGAUUUUCAGAAAGAUAACUUAUUAUUAUUCUAUAAGGAUAAAAUCCCAAAAUUUCAUCUUUUUCUAGUAGCAACUCUAUUUUUUUUUAUAAAUAUUGGGUAACCUAAAGGAUAAUGAAAGUCUAGUUUCAUGAUCUUUAGAAUUUUCUAAUAGUAAUUGAAGCAUUAUUUUACUCUAUUUAAACACAAUAGAGUUAAAUAUAAAGUGAUUUUUAUUUAUUUAUUUUUUAUUAUUGGUAAAAAAUAAUAGGAAAAACUUAAAUUUUAAAUUCUGUUACUAUUCUCAUAAUAUUAGGAAUAUGUUUCCAUAAAUUCAGGACAUAUAUUUUUUAUUAUGAUAUUAAAAAUUAAAAGUGGUACUUACUUUUUAGUUGUAAGGUUUAACAAGAAUAAUCAGCUAAUUUUUUUUUUUAUAAAAGUAAUUCUAUAGUGAAAGGGAAAGUGAAAGUGAAAGUGAAAAAGAAAAGAAAAUAAUGAGACAUAUAUUAUUUUAUUUUUUUGGUGAGUAAGUAUUAUCAUAUAUAAAAUUGUAUUUGUUUGUUUUUGAAAAAAUAUGGGCAGUAACAGUGACACAUUGAAGAUUGUCUAUACCCACAUUUUCAAUUUUGUCCACCAUUUCCCCAUACAUACACUCCUCUUAUUUAAUUUCCUAUUUAUUGGGAUUAUUAAUUAUUAAUUUGGUCUUUUAACAGAGAAUAAGACAAUUUAAAUGAUGUUUUGGAUGAAUUGAAAUAUAUUUUGUUUGUUGAAUGUGUGAUUGUUUUUUCUUAAAAUUGUAAAAUGGUGUUAUUAAACAUGAUGAUAAUGUUCAAGUGUUGUUCACCGCUUAAGCAAUAUUUAAAUGGUGUAUAAAAUAAAUUUUAUUGUUAACUAGUAGUAUUCGAUAAAAAAAAAUGUAGAUGUUAAAGGAAUAAGAAAAUAUUUUAUGUUAGAAGUCUAUAGCUAGAAUAAGAGAGAUUAAAAUAACUUGUUCAAAUGAGGUUAUUCAAGCAACUAUGUCGCCGUUCAAGCAAGAUCCAUGAUAAUGGUGCAUACAUUCACAUCACAAUGUUCAAGUGGUAUCAUGAAAACUCAAAUGUUAGUGAAACAAUGUGUUUUAUGUUAUGAACCUUAUUAGAAGAGGUCCAAUACAUAUAUUAUUCAAGCAUUGUGAGAAUGUUCAAGCGAUAAACUCUCAAGUGAAGAGAAUGUAGUUUGAGUGAAUAAAAGUCUUAACUAAAAUUACUAUCUAGAGGUAUCUCUCCUAAGUAAUAUGAAACUACUUCUUAAUGAGUAAUAUGAAUCAUUGGUGUGAGAUAUAUAUGCCUGAUACAUUCUUAGGUAGUCAUACUUUUAAUGUCAGCGAUCUAACUCCUUUUUCUGUAGGUCUCCAGAAUUCGUGGUCGAAUUCUCUCCAACUCGGGGAGUAUGAUGGAGAUCAAGCCCAAGAGAACAUGGAGGCCACUCAUCAAGCUCAAGAAGAGGUGGNNNNNNNNNNNNNNNNNNNNNNNNNNNNNNNNNNNNNNNNNNNNNNNNNNNNNNNNNNNNNNNNNNNNNNNNNNNNNNNNNNNNNNNNNNNNNNNNNNNNNNNNNNNNNNNNNNNNNNNNNNNNNNNNNNNNNNNNNNNNNNNNNNNNNNNNNNNNNNNNNNNNNNNNNNNNNNNNNNNNNNNNNNNNNNNNNNNNNNNNNNNNNNNNNNNNNNNNNNNNNNNNNNNNNNNNNNNNNNNNNNNNNNNNNNNNNNNNNNNNNNNNNNUCGAUGCAACGUACCUAAUAAUUUAAGCUUUUUCCUUUUAAUACUUAAAAAAAAAAUCCUAAAGAACUUUUAGAUGGGUUUUCCAAAGAUUAAAUCCUACAAAAAUAACAUCCCCUUAUCACCAAUUACUCAAGAUGAAUAGAAAAUAAUAAUAUAUUAUUGAUAGAAAUUGAGUCACUUGUUUAAUUAGUCUAUAUUAUUCCCUAUUUUUCCGCUUUCUCAAGUCUGAAAAAUGAUACCACACCAUAAUAGUCAUAAUUUUUUCUCAUCUUAGAGAUAGUUUAGAAAAAAAGUUUUUUAUUAAAAUAAAUAUUUAACUUUUAUUUAUACACUACCUAUUUCUUGUUAAUUUAAAAUUGCAUCUUAAAAUAAAAUUAAAGGCUUAUACAACACACUAUAACUAAUAUAUUGAACGAGUUUUGUACACUCCAAAGUUCAAUGUUUUUAGUGUUUCAAAAUAUUGCACGUGUUAUAAUAAUACGGUAGCAGACCAUGUUUAUCAUGGCAUUCAUCCACACACUUUGUAGUCACUCGAAAUUUAUUUCUAAUUAUUAUAUUUAUUUUCUCUAGGAUAUCAUUAUUUGAGUGAUUAGAUAUUUUAUGUUUACAUAGAAUUAUAUAAUAACUCAUGGUUGACUCCAGUCAUUAGUAAAAAUUAAUUGAAUUAAAGAAAAGUAUAUUAUUUUGAAAGAAUAUUUAAAUAAAAAGUUUUAAAAACAUUGAAUUUAGUAAAAGAAUUACGAAAUUCUCUUUUUAUAAAUUUUGGUGUUUGAUUUGUUAAUUUUUCCUCACUGCUAGCAAGGUUGAGCUUUUGUGAUAAAGAAUAACUCUAAAUUUUUUUUUUUUGGAGUUUGUAAUAAAUUGGGUUGUAAAUUUUUUUUAAAAGAUAAAAAUAAUUAAUAAAAUAGAGAUAUUUCAUGUAUACCACAACUUUUAUAGAAAACAACUUUAUUGCAGAGUGAAUUUUAAACCUAACUCAACUCCAUAAAAUCAGUUUAAUGAAAUGAGGUUUGCAUCCACUUAUAUACUAUGAAAGACUCUAAUCUCUAGUCGAUGUGGGAUCUCCAACAAACUUACAUCUUAGAUUCUUGCACUAUGAGAAACAUGCAACUUAGACAAACAAAAAAGUCAUUUUUACAAAUCUCUAUAAAAUUGGGAUGUGAGAUAUUAUCUUAUCUCUCUUCUUAAUUCUAAUAUAAGGGUUGAGUCAUCUUUAAAAUAUCUAUAUUUAUUUAUUAUUUUUAAUAAAAAAAAUCUGAUUUUAUACUGUAGUUGUACGUACUAUAGCUGAUUGAUAUAUAUGUGUUUUUUUUAUAUACUAUCUAUUUGAUGAUUCAUAACUCAAACUCUAUUAUUUUUCCAUAUUCUUUCCACCUCAUCAUCAUCCACGAGGGAAAACAGUGCAGGUAAGGUAAUCAUGUAUCACUAUCACCCUUACAAAUGAUCAAGGAAUGGUGAGAGGCCAUAUUGCAAUUUAGCAGAAAAAUAUCAGAAAAUUACUUCAGUAGAGAGAGGUAAUUCAGCAUUGGUUGAAAUGACUUUGUUCUUGGAACACGUGAUAUUGAUCUAUAAAUAGGGUGUUGUGGAGAGGGUAGAAGGCACAAACAAGGCACAAGGCUUUGAAGAAAGAAGAAGAGUGUGUGGUGUUGUGUUUUAUUGGCAAAGAUGUUUGGAAUCCUAGGAGGAGGAAAGGGUCACAAGAUAAAGGGAACAGUGGUGUUGAUGACCAAGAAUGUGUUGGACUUCAACGAAGUAGUGUCCACUGCUGGUGGUGGUGUGCUUGGUAUUGCUGGUGGCAUCUUUGGAACUGCAAACAAAGUAGUCGGAGGAAUAGUUGACGGCGCCACCGCCAUCUUCAGCCGCAACAUUGCCCUACAGUUGGUCAGCGCCACCAAGACUGAUGGUUUGUUUCUUCCUUCUGUUUUCUUCUGCAGUUCAAAAUAACUCUUCUGCUUCUUUCAACAUGUAGUUUAUCAAGAAACUAACAUAGACAUAAACAAUCCAACCACACUUUUUAAAACAACUUCUUAUGUUAGAUUUGAAGAACAGUAAUAAUAUAUUCACAUGUACCAGGUUAUAACUGAUUAAACUGGUGACAGUUGUUAAAGUUACACUUUAGUUUGAAGAUAAUAGUUUCUACAGUUAUUUCUCACUUCUCACUUUCAUCAUUGUUAAACUCUUGAUAAUUAUGACUGUACAAAAUUUUCAUUUCAUAAACAUUCAGUUUAAAGAGUCAUGAUCUCUAUCUGUUUUGGGUAAAUUGAAGUAGAAAAAAUAGAGAUGAACAAGAUAAUAAAAAAAGAGUUAUUUAUUUAUUUAUUUAUGGUGUAAAUCUUUCACGUACUUAAACAUGAUUGUUUAUUAUAUAUUCUCGAUUGCAUGAUUUGGAAAGAGAAUUUUAUCUUUAUUUUUAUUUGAAGUAGUUAGACAACUCCAAAAUAUAAUGAAUAGAAUAAAUGAUACGAUCCAUAAUGAACAUAAUGAUUUGUACAAAACAACAAACUUGUUUUAUUAAAAAGAAUUAUUAGAUCUGAACAUUUAAAAAAUAAAAUUGUUAGUGUUGAUAUUAAAGUAAGUUUAUAUUGAUUUAUAAUAGGAUAUAUUAUAUUAUUAUAAGGUAUUUAUAUAUUAUCAAUACUUAAAAUACUUAUUUACUGUGGACUUUCAGAAUAUAUUUUAAAAGAUGAUAUUCUUUUCAAGGAUUAGACAGUUUUUUUUAUUAGCUUUGAUUAGGGACACUAUCAUGAAGAUAUUUUUAUAAAAUGAAUUAGGAUUUUUUUUUUCUGAAAGAGCAGGGAUAGAGAAAAAAAAUAUUAAUAUUCUUUAAUUUUUUUCUUAUUUUAUAUUAUUUUUAAUUUAACUGAAUAAAAUUGACCCGGAUUGAUAUUUUUCCAUUCUAUUUAUAAUUAUAGUUGAUAUUAUAAUAAAUGUAGCACUUUUUUUUAGACAUAUAAAUACAAACAAAACUACAUUAAGUUCAUAUUUGAAAAAUAAACAUUACAAUAUAUAUAAUAAUAUUGUUUAUUAUAAUAAUUAUUUUAAAAAUGAUAUUAUAGUAUUACUUCUUAUUAAUUAGUUAAUGACAUAAACAUAUUUUAUCCUCUCUUUAUAUAUAAAUUAAAUUCUGUUUUCAAACUCUAUUAUUGUCUGUUUUAAAUUGAAAUGACAGCUUUUCCAAGACAGUGAUAACAGUGAACCUUUGUGUGGAAGAUAAUAGUUCUUUUUACGUGAACACACGAGAGCAGAUUAAGGUUUAGUUUGGAAAGAACAAGAAAAAUGGUUUUGUGGCAUUUAAACAUGUGAAGAAAAGAAGAUAAAGAAAGUGAGAAAAAGAGAGAAGAAAGAGAGGAUUUUUUUAAUAAUUCUUUUAAACUAUGAUUGUGAUUUUUUAACAAUUCAGUGAUGGAUUGUGGAUAAAAAGUAAUUGGGUAAGUAUAAAUUUUUGAAAAGCACUUUUGAAUUUGAAUGCACAAUGAGUAUGAGUUUUCUUUGUAUGUGCUUAUUUUUCAGGGCUUGGAAAUGGAAAGGUUGGAAAGCAAACGUUUUUGGAGAAUCAUCUUCCUUCGUUACCAACCUUGGGAGAUAGGCAAGAUGCAUUCAAUAUUUCUUUUGAAUGGGAUGAGAGUUUUGGAAUUCCAGGAGCAUUCUACAUCAAAAACUUUAUGCAAGCUGAGUUUUUCCUUGUGAGUCUCACUCUUGAAGACAUUCCAAAUCAUGGAACCAUUCACUUUGUGUGCAACUCCUGGGUUUACAACGCAAAAAAUUACAAAAAGGACCGUAUUUUCUUUGUCAACAAGGUAACUAACAUGAAAUUCAAGUACUAUUUUCCUAAACUUUCACAUAAUUUAGCCCAUUUUAAUGAAGAAAUUCAUCAAACAUGUUGCAGACAUAUGUUCCAAGUGAAACUCCAACUCCACUGGUUAAGUACAGAAAAGAAGAAUUGGAAAACCUAAGAGGGGAUGGAACUGGGCAGCGUAAGGUAUCUGAUAGGAUCUAUGAUUAUGAUGUGUAUAAUGAUUUGGGCAACCCAGACAAGAGUGCAGAUCUGGCUCGUCCUGUUCUUGGAGGUUCUAGUGCCUAUCCAUACCCUCGCAGAGGAAGAACUGGGAGAAAAGCAUCAAAAAGAGGUUAGGAUUUAAUUUUUCUAUUUUAGAUAAUCAAUUCCAAUGCAUGGUGAUAAAGUAAUUUGCCUCAAUGAAAUUGUACCUUGAUGUAGAGCUGUACUAUUAUAAGUUAGAUUUUUGUUUUUUGAAAGUGCAAUUACUUAUUAUUAUUAUUAUUAUCAUUAUCAUUAUGAUUGAGGAUACAAAAUUGAUUUUACUUUUAUUAACAGAUCCUAAGAGUGAGGCACCAGCCAGCGACACUUACAUUCCAAGAGAUGAAAAUUUUGGUCACUUGAAGUCAUCAGACUUUCUUACAUAUGGAAUAAAGUCCUUGGCUCAAAGUGUCUUACCUCAAUUUCAAUCUGCAUUUGGUUUAAAUGCUGAGUUUGAUAAGUUUGAUGACGUUCGUGGAUUCUUUGAAGGUGGAAUUCAUCUUCCUACAGACGUAAUAAGCAACAUUAGCCCCUUACCAGUGAUAAAGGAAAUCUUCCGCACUGAUGGUGAACAAGUCCUCAAGUUUCCACCACCUCAUGUCAUCCAAGGUAUUGUUUGCUUACAAGUCACAUAUAUAUCUCAAGUAAAAUCAACUGAAAUUACUUCACAUCCAAUAUUUAUCAUAUUUAACAUUUACAUGUUUUUCAUAUUAUUUGGAGCAGUUAGUAAGUCUGCAUGGAUGACUGAUGAAGAAUUUGGAAGAGAGAUGCUUGCUGGUGUUAAUCCUUGCCUAAUUCAACGCCUUCAAGUAAAUAAUGCUUUAUUGUUCAUUAAAUUGGAAUGAUUUGGUUUUCAUUUGAAUUAUAUUCGUUGUUUCUCAUGUUAAUUUACUGGCAAUGUUAUUUAAUGAAUGACAGGAGUUCCCUCCAAAGAGCAAGCUAGAUGCUUCUGUGUAUGGUGAUCAAACUAGCACAAUUACUAAAGAAAAUUUGGAGAUCAACCUUGGUGGACUCACUGUGGAAGAGGUGAAUGAUAUUUAUUAAUUCCAUGGCAAAAUGAUACAUGAAUCUCCAUUUAACCAUGACACUGAAUGUUUAUAAUGAUAUUUGUUCAACAGGCAUUGAAUGGUAACAAACUGUUCAUAUUAGAUCACCAUGAUGCAUUCCUACCAUAUCUGAGGAAGAUCAAUGACCUACCCACCGCAAAGUCUUAUGCCACAAGGACAAUCCUUUUCUUGAAAGAUGAUGGCACAUUGAAGCCAUUGGCUAUUGAAUUAAGUCUUCCACAUCCUAGGGGAGAUGAGUUUGGUGCUGUUAGCAGAGUUAUCUUGCCUGCAGACCAAGGCGCUGAAAGCACAAUUUGGCUAUUGGCUAAGGCUUAUGUUGUAGUAAAUGACUCUUGCUAUCAUCAACUCAUGAGCCACUGGUAUGCAUAAACUCUCCCAUUUGUCAUCACUUAUCAUAAACCAACUAUUAAGUGAUUCUUAAUUUAUUUGGUUUGCCAUAUCAUUUGAUCACAGGCUAAAUACCCAUGCCACAAUUGAGCCCUUUGUCAUAGCAACAAAUAGGCAUCUCAGUGUGCUCCACCCUAUAUACAAACUCUUGUCGCCUCACUAUCGUGACACCAUGAAUAUCAAUGGACUUGCACGACAAUCACUCAUCAAUGCAGGUGGUAUUAUUGAGCAAUCAUUUUUGCCCGGGCCAUUCUCUGUGGAGAUGUCUUCAGCAGUUUACAAAAGUUGGGUUUUCACUGAUCAGGCUCUUCCUGCUGAUCUUAUUAAGAGGUAAUAUUUAUGCAUUACUGUAAAAAUUUUCAAGUUAAAAUUGUUCAUUUAUUUCAUACCAACAUUGUGUGUCCUUUUAAUCUAUUUUCUGAAGAAACUUUAGUAAAUAUUAAAAGAUCUUGAUUUUUAUACAUUGUCAAUGUAAACCCAUUAUAAAUAACGUCAAGUAUUAUUUUAUGGUAUUGUGGUAGAAACUAACCAACUUAUCAUAAAUACAAUAUGUUAUUGGAUUAACAUAUAAAAGUCUUUUACUCUUUGUGCAUUAUGUAUAUUUUAUAUUUAAAAUGUUAAAAGCGAGUAUUGCCUUGUGGAAGUUAAAGACUGAUGAGAUAGUCAAAAUUCAUUUCAAUGAUAUUAUUUACUUAAGUAAAAUUGUUUUUUAUCUAAAAAAUGAAAGAGAAAUUUGGUGUUAACAACAAGUCCUUUGUUAUCUCCUUGAUUCAGAGGAAUGGCAAUUGAGGAUCCAUCCUCUCCACAUGGCCUUCGUCUAGUGAUUGAUGACUACCCUUAUGCUGUCGAUGGACUAGAGAUAUGGAGUGCUAUCCAGUCCUGGGUUAAAGACUAUGUCUCAUUGUACUAUGCCACAGAUGAUGCAAUUAAGAAAGACACAGAACUCCAAACUUGGUGGAAGGAAGCUGUUGAGAAGGGUCAUGGUGACUUGAAAGACAAACCAUGGUGGCCAAAGUUGAACACUCCUCAAAAUCUGAUUCACAUUUGCAGCAUUAUAAUAUGGACUGCUUCAGCUCUCCAUGCAGCUGUUAAUUUUGGACAAUACCCUUAUGGAGGUUACAUCCUAAACCGUCCAACUCUAACCAGAAGAUUGAUCCCAGAGCCAGGAACCAAAGAAUAUGAUGAGCUGAGCAGCAAUCAUCAAAAGGCUUAUCUGAGAACAAUUACAGGAAAAUAUGAGGCCAUUGUGGACCUUUCUGUGAUAGAGAUAUUGUCAAGACAUGCUUCUGAUGAGGUCUAUCUUGGACAGAGGGACAAUCCUAAUUGGACCGAUGAUACAAAGGCUCUUCAAGCCUUUCAAAAGUUUGGAAACAAACUGAAGGAAAUUGAGAAUAAGAUCUUAGGAAGGAACAACAAUUCAAGUCUCAGAAACCGUGUUGGGCCAGUUAAGAUGCCCUACACUGUGCUUCUUCCUACCAGUAAGGAAGGUCUCACUUUCAGAGGAAUCCCCAACAGCAUCUCUAUUUAAGGAGUCUACCUGUGUGGUUUAAUGUCUGUCCUACUUUAUCGCUCAAUACCAAAUAAUUAUGUUUGCUUGUCUCUGCAUAAUUGUCGGGUGUAUGCUUAAGUAAUGUAUGGGGAUCUUACAUGGUUCUCCUUUUAAUAAGAGUGGUAUCAUUUUGUGUUAAGUAUUGGGUUAUAUAAGUCUGAUAUCUCGGAUUUUGAAUAUCAAAUCAAAUUUCUCUCUGCCAUAUACAUUUUUAACAUAAACCUGUUGCAUGACUUUGAUUUGGGUAUCUAAAUUUCUACCUCAUAAAAAACAGAACAAGCUUCAUUUUUUUUUCCUUAAAUACUACUAAUAAUUAUUUUACUUUUUGAAGAAAAUAAAAAUGGAAUCAAGAAGAAGUAUUUUAAAAUAAAAGCAAAGAGAAAAAAUAAAAUAAUUGUAAUAAUAAAAAACUCUUUUCUACUUAUUGCAGUUCUGUUUCACUUUGCAUAUCCCUAGCCCGUCUCACUCUUUUCCUUUCCACACCCAUUUGCUUCUCUCCACGCACCCAUGCCACUCUUUUUUCUCACCCCAUUCUCAGUGCCACGCCGCCGCGCCGUCAACCGUUGCCAUCCAUCAUCAUCCUGCAUAUGUUUUUUAUUUUCCUCAUAUUUUUGGUUUCUUAUCACCUUUUCUCUCUCUUCAUUGAUUCAUACACUCAUAAAACAUAUUUAAAUGGCGGGUUCCACGUUUUUUUAUACAAACAAGAUAAAAUUAAAUUCAAAAUUCAAACAUAACAAAAAAAGAAUCUGAGCCCAUUCCGCAGCCCGACUUACGUUUUCUCACUGCACCCCUCCUUUACCGUCACACUCCUCUUAUUUCAAAACAAGGGAAAUCUGGGCACAUUCUGCUGGUCCAGCUACUUUUUACUUUCUGACCCCUUUGUCUACCUGCGCGACCCUCACUCAAAGCUUAACCAUAUUUACUCUAGCACGUUUUUUGUUUUUAAUUUUUAUUAAUAAAAAUUUGAAAAAUAAUAAAUAAAUUAGCAAGGGGCGACUCCUUCUUAAUUUUUUUUGUGUGAAAAUCUUAUUUUAUUUCGCAUCCCAUCGUUACCGCGAUAGAUCUUAAAACUAGGUUGUUGCCACUAUACAAUAACAAAGACACCACUAAUAAAGGUCUUAUAUCAAUCUUUGUGAAAAAGUUGUAUCGUGACACCAACAAUUUAUAUUUCUCUGUUGGUGAGAUGACCAUCACUUCGGAUGAUGUGCUAGUAUUGCUACAUCUUCCCAUUGUGGGAUAGUUUUUUUCGUAUAUGAUUUUGGAUUUUAAAUCAACUUUAUCAUUGUUGGUUGAGCUCUUUGACUUGGAGUUUGGUGAUGCUACAACAGAGUUGAGCGAGUGUUGUUGAUAUACAAACCAAAGGAUCAAGUUACCAAUCAAAAUAAAAAAAAACACGUAGAGGCAAAAUUAUAAGUAACUCAAGAUCAUACCUUCAAUUGAACCAGAGAUGACCAAACACAACAUCUUUAAAAAAGUAUUUAUUCAUAUGUCUCCAAAUCUCAACAAUAACUGCAAUCUAGAUACUUCCCCAAACAACAUUAACAGGUACAUUAAAAAGCAUUAAAAAGUUUGAAUUGGUGGAAGUGUGAAAGAGGAUCAUGAUGAUCUACCAAUGCCAACUCUAACCAAACAUAACAAUGGUUCCAAUCGAGCCAGACAAUUAAAAGUAAGAAAAAUCCCUUUAUAAAUUAACUAUUUCAUCUUGCACUCCUGCAAAAAAAAGUUGUUACUCCUCCAAAAGUCCACUUUAAUUAACAUAAGAACGUCUCCUCAAACCUACAAAACACACUGCUACAUCCUUCCUAAAGCAAGAGGUUGACUAUACAAAUUCUCUAAUAUGAAACAUUACUCCUUAACAUAUUUCAUACAUUCCAAUGAUUUCAUACACCAUUCAAAAUGAGAGAAAUCAGCAAAAAAAAAUUACAUGUAAUCCAAGUCUAGGUUUUUCUUUGUAAACCCUAAACCCAAAACAAGAAAUUAUGAGGUUUUGAAUUUGAAUUCUUUAGAUGUUUCAUGUUCAAGAAAUUGAUUAAGAUUUUUGAAGAUUUGGAUAUUGUGUUAUACUUUAACAACCCCAACUUUUAUGCUUAAAUUUAUGUGAGAUUAUAGUUAAUAAAUGAACUUGAGGUAGAUAAUUUAGUUUGCAUGUGAAAAUUUUACAAAAAUUGAGAAGUAAUGGAGUGAUUUCACGUUAACUAUGUUGAGUGGAGAUGUUUGUUGUUUCUAUGAUAAUAUUUUGAUUAUAUUGGAUAAUUUAAAUUCUUGAAAACCAGAGUUCUUGUAUGUGAAUAAGACUUUUAUAAGUUUAGAAAAAAUGGAGUUCUUAGGGUUAAACAAGUUAUUUUAUACUAUUUAAAUAUUAUUGUAUGAAAGAAUAUAAAAGAAACAAUAAAAAUAUUUGAGUCAUCGGUUUUGUUCAUGACUAAAGAAAAAUGUUACUUUUAAAUUUAUAAUCUAUAAUUUUAAUAAAGUUUAAGAAAACCAAUUUUUUUAAUAAAAUCGUAAAUUUCAAGUUCAUGAAGUUAAAUUUUUAAUUAAAUUAGUUGAUAGAGUGGUAUUUGUGAGUUAAAGUUUUAGUGUGAAGUCCUUUUAAUGAGGCACUUUUGCAAACUUCGAGUUGAAUAAGAUUAAGUUAGAUUAAAGCAUGAAAACUUUGCCUAUACUUAAUUUUAGAGAUCUAGUUAAGUUUAUGGUUUUGCAUAUUUUUGUUGAAGUGAAAUAUUUCUUAUUUAGCUUUUAUUUAGCGAAACUUUUCAAAAGAGAUAAAAGAUAAAUAUCUACUUAAAUAAAAUUUCUUUAGAAAGAAAUGAGAUUUUUUUAAGAAUUUUCCUCAACUAUAUAAAAAUUUGCUAAACGAAUUUAGAUACAACAUGAAGAAUGAAUUAUAUUUUAAAAAAACAACAGAUUAUAAUUGUGCUAAGUGGAUUUCUUAAAAAAAGUUCUUACUCUUUAUUACCUAAUAGGACUGUUCUCUUAAUUUUUUUAUUUAAUUUUAAUAUAUUUUAAUAAAAUUCAUUAUGCUUGUUAAAUUAUUGAGUGUUUAUUUAGGAUUGGUAUGUGGAUGUGAAAUCAUCGAGGUGAUUGAGGUGAGAUACUUAUUAUUAACAGAGUAAUAUUAUGAUGAUUUAAAUUUAAUUUAUAAUGUAAGUAUUAAAUUAUGAAACAUAAAUAUCUAUAUUUUUGUCUUAAAAGUAUAAUGAUAUUCAGGGAUAUAUCAUGUACGAAAAACUAAUGAAAGUUCCUACUACCUAUUUGAGCAUGAGUAGGAAUUUUGAGAAAAACAAUAUCAUGACUCAAAUUGAGAAAGUUGUUCCAAAUUAGAAUUUAUUAUCCUUAAACUAUGUUGGUUAUUAAUUCAGAUUUUAUUAUUAUUAAUUAUGAUUUUAUUACCCUUAAACUAUUUUACCGUUAUAUUCCAUUAAUUCUUAGUAGUCCAUGGUCUUACUAUUAAAAACAAGUUACAUGGCAAGUCAUCAACCUUUUUAUAAGAAAUAAAAUGAGUCAUUUUGGAAAAUCUUAAACAACCACGAGGAUAAAAUCUUUCUCCCAUUGAGUCUAUUGCAAACUUCCAUUGAAAUAUCAAGUCAAAAAUUAUUAGGAAAAGACAAAGGAAUGUACAAACCAUGUGGUUUCAUUAUUGAUUUGACCUUUUUACAAGUAAUGCAAUUUUUACAAAAUUUGUUCACAUCACAUUUCAUGUGAGGCCAUUAAUAAUGUUCAUACAAACUAUUUAAGGUAUUUUGAACCCCAAAGUGUCCCACUAACCCUCCCUCAUGUACUUCUCUAACUAAAAGAUCCUUAAUAGAACAUUUAGGCACACAAAAUCUUAUCUCUUUAAACAAAUAAUCAUUGUGCCUAAAAUAUCCAUUGGUGCUAAAAGUUUACGAGAAACAAAAGUUCCAGAAAAUUCAUAAUCAUGUGAAUAAAUUUCUUUCAAAAAUUUAAGACAAUUUUUUUGUUUGUUUAAAAAGUAGAAAUCAAAACAUGUCUUCUAGAUAAAACAUCAAGUACAAUAUUUUAUUUUCCUUUUUUUAUGCUUUAUGACAUACAAAAAUUAUUCUAAAACUUCAACUCAUUUGACAUGUCUUUUAUUUAAUUUUUGGCCUUUUAAAUAUUUUAAAGACUUAUGAUUUAUAUGAAUAAGAAAUUCUUUAUGUAAAAUAAAUAUGUCAAGUUUGUAACACUCUCACCGAGGCAUACAAUUGUUUAUCAUAAGUGGGAUAGUUUAGGGUGAUCCCUUUUAACUUCUCAUUAAAAUAAGCAAUUAAAUGACUUUAUUUCAUAAAAAAAAACCCUUAUACCCACAUUAGAUAAUGCACCACACUCAAUUUCAAAAGAUGUUGUGAAGUUUAGUAAUGCAAGAAUGUGAACAUUAGUCAAUUCAUGUUUAAGGGCAACUAAAACUUUUUCUUGUGUUUCCCUUUUGAAUGCGGGAAUAUUAAAUUUGAUCUUAUCCAAUCCCAGUUGUCUUUGUUCUCCUUCUUCUUCUUUUUUUCUCUCUUUUUAAACUUUUUUUUUUCUUUUACCCUUUGUUUUUAACUUUUUUUUUAACUUCUUUCCUUUAUCUUUAUACAUAUAAUUGAAAUUUCAUUUUAGAGUCUCACAAUCAUCACACAUAACACGCACAUGCACACACGAACCCACACACUCGCACACACACUCACACAAAUUGGAAAUUCACAGGAGACGAAUUGGAAUCAAUCAACAAUUUUAAGUUGAAAAGAAUAUCAAAUAAAUAAGGUGCCACAAAUAAGGUUUAAUAAGCCUAAUAAUGGUCAUCUAAAGAAUUAGUAAAUUCUUGAUAAUAUCAGAAGAUGCAAGGGAAUAAUCCUAACAAAGAAACUAUCACUCUUAUUUUGGCAAAAUAAUUAUUUUUUAUUCUGAAUUCUAAAAAUAUAUUUAUAGAUUUUGCUUCGUUUGUAAGUAAAUAAUGAGAUCUCACAUCACUACAAGAAAAUCACAAAAUAGAAAUUAAUAAUAAAUAGUUGCUAUAGUGACUAAAUUAGAGACCAUUUUAGAAAUUAAAAAAAAAUUGGUUUCUAAAUUAAUUUCUAUUAUUGUUAAAUAGUUUCUAAAUUGGUAAUGCAUCAUAUAUAAAUAAUGACAUUUUAUAGUAUAUAGGUGAGAGCAAACCUCACCUUAUAUUCUGAUUUUGUAAAAUUAAAUUAUACUUAUAAUCUACUUCUUAAUAAAUAAAAAUAAAAUAUAAUUUAUAUAUUUCAAAAAAAUAUAAUAUUGUCUUAAUAGUUAGAUUAAGACAUUUUGAUUCUGGAUUCAAAUUCUAACCCUAACUAAAAUAUUAAUCAGUAUUUUAGCAGUUCAAGCAUGUGUUUUUUCUAAGUCUUUUAAAUACUUCAGAUAAGAUUAUUAAAAUAAUUUGAGGAGAAGAAGAUAAGACACCAUUAUUGUCCUUGGAAGCAAAACAAGUGGAAGACAAGAGUGUAGGGGAGGGGUUGAAAACCCAAUGCCGACAUGUAUGUGGAGUAAUAGUACAAUGUCCUCUAUUCUAACACUAUUUCUCUUUCUACAUAAAAUAAAAAUAAUAAUUUUUAGACAUUUUAAAUCUCACUCAAUACUUUGUGAAAAUAAUUAAAAUUUAUAUAUUUAGAUGUAAAUAAAAACAAAAAAAAAAUUAGUAGAAAGUAUUUUAGUAUUUUACAGCAUUUUUAAAAUGGGUAUUUAAAAAUUAUUACUCUUUUGCUUAAAUAAAAUAAAUAAUUUUUUUAAGGGUUUAGUUCUUAAAUUAACUCCGUUAAAUAGAAUACAUAAUUUUUUUUGUAAACUUUAUGUUUGAUUUAUAUAAAUAAAUAAUCCUUUUAACUAUUUUUUUUUGUUUUGAAGUUAAAAACUGGUUGCGUACAGUUUGGUGAAGCUUUUGUCGUUUGUGGUUGUUCCUUUACACUCUUUUGAACGUGCAAAAUAUGUUUAAUUAGAACAGAACAUUUGGAUAAUGUUUGACCAGAAUAUUUUAAUACCUUUUUAUUUAUUUAAAAUAAACACUAAUUUUAAUGUAUAUGUUCUUCGAUGAGUCGGAAUAUUUAUAUACGCCUGUACAAAAUUAUGUUAUUCAUAAUUAACGUGAAGUCGUAACUAUAUAAAUUCUAAAAUAUUAGGAAUAAUUUAUAAUAAAAAAUUAAUUUUAGGUGAUUUUUUAAAUGUAAUUUUAAUUGAUCAAAGUUAUAUAAUUGAUGAAAUUAUUGAUGGAUUUUCAUGAUUAAUUUGUUCCAAAAUUUUACUAUUAAAUCUGGAAGCUAUUUACAUUCAAUAUAUUCGUUAACUUGGUUAAUAACAAAUAAAAAUUCAAAAUAAUUUCAAUUUAAAAAAGUUACUAUUUGGAUUUUGUAUUUGUAUACAUAAUAAAGUAGUUUGUUCACUUCAAGUCUUCUUCUUUAAUUGUUGGUGUUAGGUUGAAAGGUUGACUGAAAAAGUUACUCUGACGAUCAAGUAAUUAUUUUGUGUUAAAAGUGUAUAGUGAAAACUGAUUAAAGUGUAUCUUACACAUUUGUCUCUGUAGAGGGUUUAUUUAUAGUGUUUAAUCAUGAACUUUUGUUGUGAUGGAUUGAAUCUAUCAAAUAUUAGUGUUAAUUGAUUUCUAGCAUGAUCAUUGAUUUAUAGGGAGAUAUAUUUGUAUAUUUGGAAAAUAUAUUUAAUAAGUCAAUAUUUUCCACUAAAUCAGUGUUAGUUGGUUUUUAGGGGAUGUCACCCAAAAUCGGUGGGACAUUUUUUUUAUCGACAAAAAGGAAUGGAAUAAAUGAAGGUAUUUCAGGAUACCUCAACCUUAUACAAAAACAACGACGUCCUUCACCCUACCACUCACAUUGAGAGCUUUAAAGUGGACAACACGAGGGAAAGUUUGUCGUCUACCCAUACUCAAAUACAAAAAACAACACCUCUAACUUGAGUCAAAUCAGCUCAACUUGACCUCCCCCCUCUAACCUUUUCUAUUUUUUAUUGACCUCAUGCGUACCAAAGGUUCAAGACACCAAUCUAAGUAAGAAAAAAACAUGCUAAACGUACCUUCGAGAUGACCCAUGACCAAACCUGCAGCUGCGCCAUUGUGAAGAUUUCUAUGUGAUCCAUGCGUCCAUUCUUGAAAACCUUUGUUUCCAAAUUUCGCCUAUAACUGCUAUCCACACACAAUUCCAGAUCCGGUUAAUACCUUUGCUUUCCUCGUUCAUCCUGAAGUGAGACAAAAGUAUUUUUGAAUCCUGAUGAACCAUCGCUGUCCUGCCCACCCACUCAAAGCACUUUGCCCAAACCAACCACGCUACCCUACACGUACUAAAUAGAGAUGAAGCGUUGUUUCAAUCCUCCCCACACAUAUUACAUAUGCUACUCUCCACCGUGAUCCCCUCCGUUAGUUUUAGUCGCAAUUUUGUUUUCCAACACUCUCCAUGUUGUAACUAAGGCUGAUGUGGUUGAGCCUUAAUCUCCAUAACCCCUUGUGUAGGUCAGAACCUUCCCCCUGUAGCUCCCCUUUUAGGACUCUAUAAACAUACUAGAUUGUAAAACUUGUAUCAUCACUUUCUUUCCAGACCCACUUAUCCUCCUUAUCUUUGGUAUGCACCAGGUCAAUAAAAAAUAAGAAAGGUUAGAGGGGAGAGGUCGGUUUGACUCAAGUUAGAAGUGUUAUUUUCAUAUUUGGGUAUGGAUAAACAACAAACUUUCCUCCGUAUUUUACGUUUUAAAGCUUUCAAUGUGAGUGGUAGACUGAAAAAUAUCGUUAUUUAUUCUAUUUUUUUAUCACUAAAAAAAUACAUAAUCACAUAUUAAUAUCAUCCAUCAAUCACCUAAAUUGAAUAAUUGGCUCGUGCAAUUCCGAAGUACAGAUCUAAAUAACAUUUUGAACAAUGUGUGAAUUGUUUUUGGAACUAGAUUUAUCUGCAACAUGUAACUUUUUGGAACACACAAAAAAACAAGAUAUACAAUACAAUAAUUGAAUAUGAUCAGAAACUCUUAUAUCACAUCCAUUACAUCAUCAAUCAUACACAUUUUUUUAACAAUGAUUACAAUAUUUCUCACUUCGCUAAAGACAUCACACAUAAAUGUAUACAAAAAUCAAGAUUUGUCGAUUUUUUAAGAUAUUUAUUGAGUUAGUCUGUUUGAGAUUAACACUUCAUGUAUGAUUAGAGUUUAUUGAACAUAAAUAAUUAUUUAUAUACAAUAACGAUAUCUUUUUUGCAUAGACUUUAAAAAAAAUGUUGUGUAAGAAUUUUUAUCAAUUUUCAACACCUAAAACAUUUAUUUACGUACAUGAUUUUUAGUUAUCAAUAAAACUUGAAUGUUUUAUUUUUAUACUAAUUUCUUAAUUUAAUACUCAUGUUAUAUUCAAACUAAUGACAAUAUUAUAUAAUAUUAUAUAUAAGGUUGAAAGUGUUGAUUAUUAAUUCAGAUUUUAUUAUUAUUAAUUUAAAUUUUAUUACUUUUAAACUAUUUUGACUCCUAUUAUUACAUUAAUGAUCAAUUUUCAUAGUAUUUCUAUUUUAUAGUUUUCAAGUAAUUAUAAUUUUAUAAUAUAUACUGUUGAAGUAAAUUAAAAUGAAUAAGAUCUAGUCGGCAGUUUUGCAAUGUGCAAUUACCUUCAAUUAGUUUAUACAACUUUUUUUUUUUCAAUUAGUUUCUACAGAAAUUGUCACGUUUAAUUAAUUAAUUUAUUUAUUGUUAGUAGGGAUCUCUGUUAUGCUGGAUUUUUGUUUUGAAGUGAUAUUUUCUGUAAUGAGCAAACAACAACGUGUAGGCGAAGCAGAAUGUGGAUAUAGUUUCAGUAUUUUAGGCAUAUGAUAAUUUGGGAUAUUUUAACCCUUUACAUACAUUAUCUUGUUCUUCUUAGAAAUCAAAAAGUCAAAUGAUAGUCUAAGAAUUUUUGUUUCAUAAAACUCUAAAAUCCUUCGUAAGUAUUUGAGACAAAAAUAGCAGUACUUAAAACAACUUAGUACUUUCCAAAUGAUUAUGGAUUAAUUUUUAAUUAUUUUUUUUUCAAAUUAAGAUAGAAACAUUUGAUACUUGUAUAAUCGAAUUAAGCAUAAUUGAUUAUAUUAAAAAAAAUAGCUUUUCAGAAUCGAUUAUUAUAUGAAAUAAUUAAUUAUGUGUUAAUAAAAUGAGAUCUAGUUUUAGUUCAGAAUUACGAGCUUAACAUAACUAACUAUAUGUUCAUAAAAAAUAACUUUUAAUGUAAAUUUGAUUAAAACUUUUUAAAGAUUGAUUUAAAUUUUAUAUUUAUUUAAAUUAAAAGAACACCAAAUAAUGAAUGUACGUCUAUUCAUUAACUAGGUGUACAUUUAUCAUCAAAUCAUCAACACCCUAUCAAUAAUAAAUAAUGUAUUACAUAAGUAAAGGGAUAACAAUUUCCAUCUACAAAUAAGAAAAAUAGUACUAGUCAUUCAUGUUACAACCAUGUGCUUAAUUGAUAGUAGAAUACAUUUCUACCAAAUAUUUCAUAAUUACUUACUAAACCCUUCCUACACAAAUCUUCUAUUUAUUUUUAUGUUUUAAAGCUUUGGUUCUUUUAGAUUUCUAAAAUGUAUUAUAGAAGAUAAAAAAAAUUCUAACAAGUAUUUGUGCAUUUUUUUUUUCAAUUACACAGUAGUAAAUAAAACUAUUUUUUACAGGAGUAUUACUAACUUUUAUAUUUACCAAUACUUAUAAUGAAGUAAUGCUAUCUCUUAUCUUUAGAAAUUUAUUUCUUAUAUAUGAGAUAAAGAUAACAUAUUUUUAUGAUGCUUUUUAUAAAUUAAUAUUUGUUUAGUGAUAAAAUAUUUUAUAAUAUUUAUGAUUAUAAUUUUUAAAUUUAUUUAUUUAUAGAUAAAUGAUUUUUAUUAUUAGAUUUUAUUCUCAUAUUAGAUAUUCUAUUAUUAUUCUUAUAUUAUAUGUAAAUAUUCUCAACUAAGUUUAAAGUAAAAUAAAUUAAAUGCAUUUACAUUCAUUAUGCUGAAUAAUGUAAUUUUCAAAAUAUUUUGAAAUGUAUGGUUAGAUUAAUAUAAUAAAUAAAUAGUAUAGUAAAAAGAGAGAAAAAACUGAUUUAACUUUACUUUAUGUAAAACGAGUAGUAAUGACAUUUAAUAAUGUUUUAAUAUUAAAAAUAAAAUAAAUAUAAAAAGUUAAAAAUUACCAUUUUAAAUAAUAUCACUUGAAAUAGUAUUUUUUUUAAAGAAAUUAUAAACUACUUAAAAAAUAUUUUUCAAACUUAUUAAAAAAGUCAAUGUAAGUUUUAUAAUUUAAAAACUAAAAUCUAGUUAGAAAUGUUUGGAAAACAUCCACUUAACAUGUAUGUAAUAUAAGUCAUUGUGUACAAUCUUCAUAAUUAGGAUGUUUUUGGGUUUUUACCAAUUUUUUUUUAUCAACAAAGAAUAAAUAAAAUAAAAAGAGAUAAGAGACUUUUUAGCAAUUUAAUCAAUAACUAAAUACAAGUGCAUUUAAUUUAGUGUUUACAAAACCUAAAAAGUUGACUAAACUGUUCAAACUUAAAAUGAAUUAUUCAACACGAAACUAAACAUAAGAAUAUAUAUUUAUCUAAAAUAUUUAACUGUAAUAUUUUUAGUAUCAAUGCAUACUACUCCAACUCCUCCACUACUAUCUGGUAUUUAUUUAACAGUAAAAAAAAACUUAAACUCUAAACUUAAAAAAGAAAAUACUUAAAGAGUGAUUUUGAAUAACCUAUCGUGAAACCAAACACCUACUGCAAAUAAAUAUUUUUUUUAACAUUGUAUUUUUUAUCAACAAUAAAAAAAAAUAAGAAUAAUUUUAGAAAUGAUCCAACUAUUAUAAAAAAAUCACAUAGAAACAAACACUUUUCUUCAAAAAUUUGUUACUAACUUUCUAUUAAAGAUGAAAACAAAUAAAUCAGAUUAAUACCUUAUUCCAAUGUUUUAAAAUAAAAGUCCUAGAAAUUCAAAAUCUCUUAAUAAAAAACACACAUUUCAAAGAAUAAGACAUUGAAUAACAUGUUUUUCUUAUUCAGAUUAAUGUUUAAAACCAAAACCAUUGGUUUGUAUUAGGUCAAUAAAAAAGGAAUAGUUUAAAGAGAGAGGUUGAGUUGAGCAAGAGUGUUCCAGAUUAGAGAUAAUGUUUUUUAGAUGUGGAGCUUGCAUCUCUCGUGUUGUCUACUUUAAAGUUCACUAUGCGAAUAAUAAACUAAAGGAUGUCGUUGUCUUUAUACAAGAGUGGAUGUGUCCCUAAACUAUCUUGAUUUUUAUUCAUUCUAUUUUUACCAAUAAAAAAUUGAACAAGAAAAACAAGUAAAUAUCCCACCAAAGGCAUAGCUUAAGUUGAGCAAAAGAGACUUUGUUCAAUAGACCGCUGUCUAAAAGUUUAAAACCUAUGUCAGAUUUAACUUUUUCUUUUAGAUACAAAGCAUUUUAACUUUCCUCUGAACAGUGCAUGUGGUUUAUUUUCUACAUCUUAUAUUAUCAUAUCUGUCAUUUUUUGUUUUUAUGUUAAAUCAUUGUCCUUUCUUGUCAUUUACCCUGAAUUUUUGUGAGUGUUUUGUCACCCUCCAUUCGUCUUUUUAUGCAUUUUCAGAAGUUGUCCUCAACAAAAAACUGAGCACAUUAUUACUCAUAGCAGAAAAUUAUGGUGGAACUUGCUACUUAUCUAUAAAUAGCCUCUUUGCAGGCACAAGGGUCUCCCACAGCAUCUGUAGAAAGAAGAGUGUGCUGUGUUGGAGCAGUCAUGUUUAAGGGCAAUACCUCAAAGGUUCACCAAGUGAAGGGGACAGUGGUUUUGAUGAGCAAGAAUGCAUUGGACUUCAACAAAGAUGGUGCCACUGCCAUCUUCAGCCCUGACUUUUCCAUAAAGCUUAUCAGUUCUAACAGGGUUGAUGGUUUGUUUCUUCCUUUUCUCAUAUAAACCAUGCAAAAUAUAACAUACACAUACAUAUAUCUUUAUUAAACAUUCCAUUAAUAUUUAUAGUUUUUCCUUUUAUCUGUCUUCAUUGGGGAGUGAAAAAACAAUUCAUUCAUCAUCCUCCUACAUCAUUAAAAAAAAAAACACAAAAACUAAUUUUAAAUACUAAAUUAGAAACCAUUUUAAUACUAAAACAAUUUUUAAUUUAUAAAUUAAUUUUUAUUAUUAUUAGAUAGUUUCUAAAUUGAUAUCUAAUUAGAUUUUUUUUACCAAAUAUGAUGUAAAUUUAAAAAUUAUUUAACAAUAAUAAAAAUUAAUUAGAAACCAAAAAUUAUUUUAAUAUUGAAAAUGAUCUCAAAUUUAGUUAUAGAAUAAUUAAUUAUUUUAAUUAUUUUUUAUGUAUAAAAUUGAUUUCUAUUUAAUCUUAUGAUUGACUAAUGAUCUCCAUCUAUCCUUUUUUUAAAUCUAAGUCAUGCUUCCAAUAAUCAGUACUAUUUCAUAUUUUAUGAGACUUUUUAUAUGUUUUCUUUAUAAAAUAUUGCAAGAAAUCAGUUUUCUUGUGAAUUUUUCUAUGGAUUUUGUACAGUCUGAAAAAAAUAUGUGCAUGAACUUUUUUAUGAAAUAUGAAAAAUUGUAGUUGUCAAUAUUUAAUUGAUAAAAAAUAAUCUAACAGUAUUUUGCAUAGUUAAAUCUUUCUUAAUUUUAAAAAAAUAUGGUAUUAAAAUUUCUUUUACAAGUUUUCUUUUUGAUUUUUAUGAAAAUGUAUUUUCUAUUUUGAAAAUAUAUUUUUUUAUAGAUUAUUUGAAUAUCCCAUAUUAGAAAUAAUUAAUGGAUGUAUUACAUUUGAAUUUUAACAAAUGGAGUAAGAUGAAUUGAAAAUUUUAAUUAAUAACAAAAUUAAUGAAUUUUUUUAUCCAAUACAUUAUGAUUUGAAAUAAAAUUUAUCUAACUCAUUAUGUUUGACCCCUUAAUUAAUCACAGUACAUGAGUUUCCACAUUUAUAGCUCUUUCACUUCUCUAGUUUUUUUUUUUCUUCUAAGAUUAUGUUGGAUUUGUUAAAAACAUAUGGGACUGUACAAAACAAAAUUUCUGAUGUUUGCUUUGAAAUAAAUUAAGUGAAGAACAUAAAAGUGUGAAGCUAAUUUCUAUUUGAGCAUUAUUCUUGCUAGGUAUUUUUAAUCGGUUUCCACUUAUGAUAAAAAAAUUCUAGUAUUAGUAUUCUGUCAUUUUAGUGGAUUUGGGGAGAAAAUAUCAAGAAAGAAAAGUAUUUAUGUGAUCGAGAGAAGGUCAGAGAUUUGUAAGUAUUGUGUGUAAAUAAUGAUUUUGCCUCAAUUAUUUAUUUGUUUUUCUUUAUUUUUUAAAUUAUCACUGUCCAUUAAUAAAUAAUUAUUUUUCAUUUUUUCAAUUAAAUUUUCUAAUAAAUAUACACCAAAGAAAAAAAUUACUUCAUAAAAAAUAUUUAACAGGUAGCAAAAUACUAAUAAUUUUGAUUUAAUAUAUUAUUUAUUUUUUAUUAUUUUGCUUUAAUGAAACUAAAUUUAUACAAAUGUGUAUAUGUAAGUAAUUGUUGUUGUUAAAGAGUUUGAUUAGAAAUAAUAAGUUCAAAAUUAUAGAAUAUAAGUAGAUGGAAAUUUCAUCUCACAAUUUGUUAGAUUAAAUUAAAUAAAAACUAAUUUUAUAGACAAAAAAUAAUUAAUUGCUAUCGACUAAAUUAGAAACCAUUUUAAAAACCUAAAAAAUUAUUAGUUUCUAAAUUAGUUUAUAUUAUUGAUAGUUUAUAAAUUGAUAUAUAAUUUAGUCAAUAUAACAACUAAUUAUUUUUAGUGGUUAAAAUUGGUUUUUAUUGAAUAAUUUUCUUAGUUUAGAUAAAUAAUAUGUUAUGGAGAUUAAAAAAAUGUCUUAUUUGAGUUUGAUAAUAUUCUUUAUUUAGGGCAUAAGAAUGGGAAGGUUGGAAAGGAAACCUCUCGGGACAAAAAUCAACCUGCUUCUUCGUUACCAACCUUGGGAGAGGGAAAAACUGCAUUCAAUAUUUCUUUUAAAUUGGAUGAAAGUUUUGGAAUUCCAGGAGCAUUCUACAUCAAAAAUUUAAAGCAACCUGAGUUUUUCCUUGUGACUCUCACUCUUGACAUUCCAGAUCAUGGAACCAUUCACUUUGUUUGCAACUCAUGGGUUUACAAAGCACAGAAGGAUCGUAUUUUCUUUGCAAACAAGGUAACUAAGUUGUGCACCUAUCAAGCAAUAUAUGAAUCUGGUUUUUGUACUCACUAGGAAAAUCUAUAAACUGCAUAAUCUUGUUUCUUUUAUGUAUACAUUGGUUUGGUAAGCUGCAGUUUGACCUAGCUAUAUGAAUUAAGGGGCUAAAAAAAAAAACAUUAGGUAUGGAGAGCUAUCUCAACUCAUACACAUCACCAUAAAUUAAUCCGAAUUUGUUUGUAUAAACUUGUAACACCUUUAAGGUACUUAAUGAUCUAAUAUAUGAAAUUUAAACCCUAUAGUUUAUAAACUUCACAAAAUUCAUCCCUAUUGUCUAAAUGAAGAAAUUCAUUGAACAUGUUUCAGACGUAUCUUCCAGAUACAACUCCAACUGCUUUUAAAAAGUACAGAGAAGAUGAAUUGAAAAGUCUGAGAGGAGAGGGAAAAGAAAAAGGAAAGCGCCAAGAACAUGAAAGGAUUUAUGAUUAUGAUGUGUAUAAUGAUUUGGGCAACCCAGACAAGAGUGAUGAUCUAGCUCGUCCUGUUCUUGGAGAUUCUAGUGCCUAUCCAUACCCUCGCAGGGGAAGAACUGGAAGAGACAAAACAAAAAAAGGUUAGGGAUUAUUUUUCACUUUAAAAAAAUUAUUUCCAAAUUAAUUUGUCGAGAAUCUAUGUAUUGUCUCUGAUAUUCUUAUUUAACUUGAAUAGAAUUGUUUGUAUGAAAGAUGCACCUAGCUUCACAAAAACAAUGUCAAUAUUCUGUCAUUAUGUGUGGUUAUGUUAUUACUAAUUUGAUCUCUUUUAGAUAUAAUGAGGAUGUUCAAUAUGUUUUUGGAAAUAUAGAGAUGCUAUUUUUGUUAUUAGUAAGAAAAAAAAUUACAAUGAUUAGAAUUAAAGAAAGUAUAUGUAGUAUAGCAAAAGGUUAUAAACACAAACCUGCUAGUAGGUAUGUUUUUUUUAUUAAACACAAUUGAUUUGUAUUAGGUUUACUAGGGGUUUAUUUUGUUAUUUGAAAGAUGAUGUCGUUUUUGUUUUAUUGAGCUAAUUGUUAGGUAUUAAGGAUGUAUAAGGAUUGAAUCAUCCUCUAUUCUAUAUUUUUUUUUUGUCGAUAAAAAAAAACUCUCUUAAUGUAACUCUUGUGACACUAAUGUCACUACAAGAAAAUCAUGAAAUAGAAACCAAUUUUUAGAGACCAAAAUAAUUAGUUGCAAUAGUAACUAAAUUAGAGACCAUUUUAGAAACUAAACAAAAUUUUGGUUUCUAAAUUAGUUUCUAUUAUUGUUAAAUAGUUUCUAAAUUGGUAUUUAAUUAGCAACCAAGGUUUUAGAAACUAAAUAAUUGGUAGUUAAAACCUUGGUUAUUGCUAAUUUGAUACCAAUUUAGAGAUUAUUUAACAAUAAUAUAAACUAAUUUAGAAACUAUUUUUUUUUAGUUUCUAAAAUGGUCUCUAAUUUAGUUACUGUUGCAAAAUUGGUUUCUAUUUCAUGAUUUUUUUAUUGUAGUGUGUAGAGUUAGCUCAAGAGGAUAAAGGAAGGAAUAAUAGAGUAAAAAAAAAAACUCUUAAAACACUUAAAGACAAAAUAUCAUUUAGUUACUAUAGUGACUACAUUGGAAACCAUUUUAGAAACUAAAAAAAAAUGGUUUCUAAAUUAAUUUAUAUUAUUGUUAAAUAGUUUCUAAAUUGAUAUUUAAUUAGUUAUCAAAGUUUUAACUACCAAUUAUUUAAAUUAUAAAUUUGGUAGUAAAAACCUUAGUUGCUAGUUAGAUACCAAUCUAUAAACAAAUUAACAAUAAUAUAAACUAAUUUAGAAACCAAAUUUUUUUUUAGUCUCUAAAAUGAUCUCUAAUCUAGUCACUAUACCAACUAAUUAUUUUUUGUCUUUAAAAUUGAUUUUUAUUUCAUGAUUUUCUUCCCAUAAUUUAAUAGAGUGUUUAAGAUAAGACAGUUUCAAGUAGAUGGUCUUCUGUAUUUUUCAAUAAACUAUCACAAUCUAGAGCCAAUACAUCACAACAUUGAAAUGUCGUUACUUCUAAUUGUUAUUGUUAAUGAUACAAUAUUAAUUUUUAUUUAUCUCCAUUUCUAACAGACCCUAAGAGUGAGACACCAGCCAGCGGCGACACUUACAUUCCAAGAGAUGAAAAAAUUGGUCACUUGAAGUCAUCAGACUUUCUUACAAAUGGAAUAAAGUCCUUGGCUCAAAAUGUCUUACCUCAAUUUCAAUCUGCAAUUGCUUUAGAUCCUGAGUUUGAUAACUUUAAUGACGUUCGUGGACUCUUCAAAGAUGGACUUCCUCUUCUUACAGACGCAAUCAGAACAAUUAGCCAAACACCAGUGAUAAAGGAAAUCUUCCAGAUUGAUGGUGAAAAAGUCAAGUUUCCACCACCUCAUGUCAUCCAAAGUAUUGUCUAUUUAUAUGUCACACCUAUAUAUAUAUAAAGUAAAAUAAGCUACUAGUGAUUGGCAUGGCAACAAGUAUUUUUUAUAUUUAACAUAUCUAGUUGUUUUCCAUAAAAUUUGGAGCAGAUGGUGAGUCAUGGAUGACUGAUGAAGAAUUUGGAAGAGAGAUGCUUGCUGGUGUUCAUCCUUGCCGAAUUCAGCGUCUUCAAGUAAAUAAUGCUUUGUUGUUUAUUAACUUGGAAUGAUUUGGUUUUCAUGUUGAAAUAUAUUCAUUGUUUAUCAUCUUAAUUUACUCACAAUGUUAUUUAAUGCAUCACAGGAGUUCCCUCCAACGAGCAAGCUAGAUGCUUCUGUGUAUGGUGAUCAAACUAGCAAAAUUACCAAAAAAAAUUUGCAGAUCAACCUUGGUAAACUCACCGUGGAAAAGGUGAAUGAUAUAUAUUAAUUCCAAAGCAAAAUAACACAUAAAUAUUCAUUUAACCAUGACGCUGAAUGAUUAUAAUGAUACUUGUUCAACAGGCAUUGAAAGAUAACCGAUUGUUCAUAUUAGAUUACCAUGAUGCAUUCUUACCAUUUCUGAGGAAGAUCAAUGGCCUACCCAACACAAAGUGUUAUGCCACAAGGACAAUCCUUUUCUUGAAAGAUGAUGGCACAUUGAAGCCAUUGGCUAUUGAAUUAAGUCUACCACAUGCUGAGGGAGAUAGGUGUGGUGCUAAUAGUAGAGUUAUCUUGCCUGCACACCAAGGCGCUGAAAGAACAAUUUGGCAAUUGUCCAAGGCUUAUGUUGUUGUAAAUGACUCAUGUUAUCAUCAACUUGUGAGCCACUGGUACAUAUAAAUUCUUCCAUCAUGAAUGAACUAUCAAUUUUUUGAAUUUACUAAGUGGUUCUUAAUUUAUUUGGUUUCUGUAUCAUUUGAUAACAGGUUAAACACUCAUGCCAUAAUGGAGCCAUUUGUCAUAGCAACAAAUAGGCAUCUCAGUGUGCUCCACCCUAUUCAUAAACUUCUAUCACCACACUAUCGUGACACCAUGAAUGUUAAUGGAGUUGCACGACAAUCACUUAUCAACGCAGGUGGCCUUAUUGAGCAAUCCUUUUUGCCUGGAAAAUACGCUUUGGAAAUGUCUUCAGCAGCUUACAAGAAUUGGGUUUUCACUGAUCAAGCCCUUCCUGAAGAUCUCGUCAAGAGGUAAUGUUUAUACACAACUAGCUUUUAAUUAAUACUCUGUACUUUAGUCAACAACUCUCACUUGGAAUUUAUUUACAUAUAUACUAAUACAAUAUUUUAAUUUACAAUUUUUCUCCUGUUUGAGAUGUAAAUAAUAAAUGCUUUGUUUUCCUCCGUGAUUCAGAGGAAUGGCAGUUAAGGAUUCAUCAAAUCUCCUUCAACUUGUGAUAAAGGACUACCCUUAUGCUGUUGAUGGACUAAAGAUAUGGAGUGCUAUUCUGAAUUGGGUUACAAAGUAUGUCUCCUUCUACUAUUCAGAUAGAGUUGGGGAAGACAGAGAACUCGAGUCUUGGUGGAAGGAGGUAGUUAAGGAGGGUCACGGUGACUUGAAAGACAAGCCAUGGUGGCCAACAAAGUUGAACACUCGUCAAAAUCUGAUUCACAUUUGCAGCACUAUCAUAUGGAUUGCUUCAGCUCAACAUGCAGCUGUUAAUUUUGGACAAUACCCUUAUGGAGAUCACAUCCUAAACCGUCCAACUCUAACCAGAAGAUUGAUCCCAGACCCAGGAACCAAAGAAUAUAAUGAGCUGAGCACCAAUCAUGAAAAGGCUUAUCUGAAAACAAUUACAAAAAAACAUGAGGCCCUUGUGAACCUUUCAGUGAUAGCGAUAUUGUCAAGACAUGCUUCUGAUGAGGUCUAUCUUGGACAGAGGGACAAUCCAAAUUGGACUGAUGAU